Molecule: ribosomal RNA, 576 nt
Filed under: Salmonella enterica
Lineage: Bacteria; Pseudomonadati; Pseudomonadota; Gammaproteobacteria; Enterobacterales; Enterobacteriaceae
Description: partial 23S ribosomal RNA
Rfam family: Bacterial large subunit ribosomal RNA
Source: RNAcentral
ACCCUUUAAUGUUUGAUGUUCUAACGUGGACCCGUAAUCCGGGUUGCGGACAGUGUCUGGUGGGUAGUUUGACUGGGGCGGUCUCCUCCUAAAGAGUAACGGAGGAGCACGAAGGUUGGCUAAUCCUGGUCGGACAUCAGGAGGUUAGUGCAAUGGCAUAAGCCAGCUUGACUGCGAGCGUGACGGCGCGAGCAGGUGCGAAAGCAGGUCAUAGUGAUCCGGUGGUUCUGAAUGGAAGGGCCAUCGCUCAACGGAUAAAAGGUACUCCGGGGAUAACAGGCUGAUACCGCCCAAGAGUUCAUAUCGACGGCGGUGUUUGGCACCUCGAUGUCGGCUCAUCACAUCCUGGGGCUGAAGUAGGUCCCAAGGGUAUGGCUGUUCGCCAUUUAAAGUGGUACGCGAGCUGGGUUUAGAACGUCGUGAGACAGUUCGGUCCCUAUCUGCCGUGGGCGCUGGAGAACUGAGGGGGGCUGCUCCUAGUACGAGAGGACCGGAGUGGACGCAUCACUGGUGUUCGGGUUGUCAUGCCAAUGGCACUGCCCGGUAGCUAAAUGCGGAAGAGAUAAGUGCUGAAAG